RNAcentral lists this long non-coding RNA (1154 nucleotides) under Chrysemys picta bellii (western painted turtle). Its description in RNAcentral is "lncRNA (ENSCPBG00000014948.1)". Lineage: Eukaryota; Metazoa; Chordata; Testudines; Emydidae. The record is from RNAcentral.
AUUUUAUUCUUUUAAAAUUCAGAUCCAGUGCGAGAUGCUAGGUACACCCCCCAACGGUUUCCCCACGCCCUAUGAUUACCCCCCCCCCCAAAAAAAAGAGGCUAGGAUACCUGAUCUAUGUGUCUAGCUGUCUGGGAAGGUUUAUUAUUAUUAUAUGUCUAAUAAGUGUCUAGCCUUUCUCCCUGACCCGGCGGUGUAUUUUUGGUCUCAUUAGUAGUCAGGGAGAUGCUUUAGAGUAUCCGGUCCUGGGAGUCGGGGAUAACACACUGCCGGCAACACGGAGGGAGAAGGGAAAGAGGGUGGUAGCAGAAGGGAAGCCUUCUUUCCAACUCUUGUCUCCAAGCUAUGGAAGGGGAAAUGAGAAGUGAUGGGACUGGCCCCAGCGUUGGAUAUGUGAUCAGUGAUUUUGGGGGGGGGGCGGGGGGUCUUAGCAGAGCUUAAAAGGGGGGGUUAUAGGGUGCGGUGGGGAAGUAUUGAUUCCUUAUUCUGCUAAAGAUUUUAGGUAGGCAUGCAAAGAAUCUGUAGGGUAGUUGUAAGUGGGUGGGGGUGGUGAAGAAUCUAAACGAGUCUGUAACCAGAUACUGAAGCUUUCCAGGAGUGAGUGUGUGUGUGUGCGAGCGAGCGAGAGACAGACAGCGAGAGGAAGAAAGGGGGCAGUGUGGUCUAGUACAUUUCAUCUGGUCGUUGAUUUGAGCCUGAUGCUUGCUGUCCCUCAACAGCCUCCCUUGCCUGACUUUUUUUUUUUCUUCUUUCCCCCCCUCUCCCUCUCCUUUUGCCUUCUACUUCGCCGAAGCCUAGGGGAGCCAGUAAAGAUUAAAUGUGCUUUCUAAAAGGCAGCCACUUCAUGCAGCUAUGUCCACUUCCCCCUCCCUACCACCACCACUAACCCCCCUUUUAAAUAAAAUAAGAGCGAGACAGACAAGGAGGAGGAGGAAUAUAGUUUAAUGAUGCCGGGACUGGCUGAUCCAGAUGGAAAAACGGAGAAAAGAUCUGAGAUCCCGGACGAGGAAGGACCCUGGUGAAUGGUCGGAGACUCCAGAGGCUGGAACCUUCCCCACUUCCAAAUGGAUACAAAUUUUAUACCCGAGGGACCUGUUACAUCCCUGUGCACAUGGGACUCCCAGUGGAGAUUAGACCUUCUGCAAGGACUGCAG